UACGUAGGGGGCAAGCGUUGUCCGGAUUUAUUGGGCGUAAAGAGCGUGUAGGCGGCUUUACAGGUCCGUUGUGAAAACUCGAGGCUCAACCUCGAGACGCCGGUGGAAACCGUAAAGCUAGAGUCCGGAAGAGGAGAGUGGAAUUCCUGGUGUAGCGGUGAAAUGCGCAGAUAUCAGGAGGAACACCCGUGGCGAAGGCGCCACUCUGGGCCGGUACUGACGCUGAGGAGCGAAAGCGUGGGUAGCAAACAGG
Molecule: ribosomal RNA, 253 nt
Filed under: uncultured bacterium
Lineage: Bacteria
Description: partial 16S ribosomal RNA
Rfam family: Bacterial small subunit ribosomal RNA
Source: RNAcentral